This is a long non-coding RNA of Ailuropoda melanoleuca (giant panda), 1629 nucleotides long. NCBI's taxonomy places the organism in Eukaryota, Metazoa, Chordata, Mammalia, Carnivora, Ursidae. The record is from Ensembl.
CGAAUUUCAGAAUCGCUUGUUCUGGGCUGGAGGGCGCCAUACCCCCUUCUGAAUGGAACGGGACAGGGGCCCAGGCCUUUGACAGCGGCGGAGCUCAUCACCGUUCCAAGCAGGGCCGUGUCACUGGACAGAGCCAUGACCGCGGCAUGGGGUGCGGCGAGCAUCUUCAUCUCUGUAAAUGGGUAAUGUAACUCUCAUUUUAUGGCUGAGAACCAGAGCGGCCAAGCCAUUUCUCCUGAGGUGCGCGGUGCCGAGGCAGGUGGUAGGUCCCUGUGUGCACGGUGGAUGUCACCGGUGUCUAGGGUACAGCGGCACUCGAGGUCCGCCUAGCCAGCAGGGGGGAGCUGGGAGAAGCCACGGAGAUUUUAAACCGACACGUGCGAUAAAAAUAAGAAACAAAGGCCACUUUGAGAUUUUAUAAAACAUGUGAACAUGGGUCCUUGCCGCUCGCACCGUCGUCAUCACAUCCUUGAGAGCGAAGGAGGUUCUCACAUUUCCAUUUUACAGAAAACCAAACAAAAACUUUGAGAGCCUUCUAGCAUGCCCUGGGCUCCACAGCCGUCACAGAAUAACACUGGGGACCCAGUCCACCUAUUCUGGGGCCAAAUCCCACAUCAGUGUCAGUGUGCGUCAGUUCCGCGGGCAGCGCUGCGCCCCGAGAGUCCGCUCUCAGCUCGCACCCCUCGCUCCCGGAAGGUAUUAGAAACUCACAAGACUUCUUCCGGCUCCGCCCCACGCACCGCGGCUGCCCUCCCGCGAGACUGGUUACCUUCACGUCAGCAGCGCCUUGUCUGAAGACCUCACAGAUGGCAGCUGGAGGACGUGCACACAAGGGCCGGAGAGUUGUCAGCGUCUCUGAGUAGGAUUCCCGUGCCGAGUGAGAUGAGGACCCGGGUUACUUCCACACGGUGAUUGUCAAACACGGGCGUGUGGCAGAACCACCUGAGACGACGUCAACGACGCAGGCUGCCUGGCUCCGUCACCAGACAUUCUGCCUCAUGAGGGUUUCCGCUUCUUCAGUUACCGCCUCACCUGCUUCCUCAGUCCCUCUUCGCAGAAGCUCCUUCCCCUGCGCAGACGUUCAGUGGACCUCCCUUCUUCAAGAGCAAAAACACGUAGGUGAAUGUGCUCUCUCACCCUCGCUCUUCCCUCGCUGCACCACUAGUCCUGGCGAGGCCAUCACAACCACCCGUCGUGGGCGCCUGAGCAGUCGGGUUUCUGUUUCAGGGUUCUGUUGCGCCCACCUUCUCAGAAGCCACCUCAGGCCUUGCAGUCACCACCGUCUGGUGGCUUUCCCGCGGCUCCUUUCUGCCAGCGGCUGUGCCGCCCUUGACUCUGCGGACCACGCCGUCCUUCACAGUCCCAGCUCCCUCCAGGGCUGCGACAUGGCACUUCGUGCUCCCCUGCCUCCUGCCGCUCCUCACCUCCUCCUGUGCUAACCCGGCACUCCUGCACCCCUUGCCCUCUCCUCCUGUUCCUGAGCCCGCUUCCCUGGGCUGCAUCCACCCCCCACACCACGACUUCAACGAUGACCUCCCUCUGCAUCUCUGUUUCCACUCCGGGCCCCCUGAUGCCUCUCUCUGCAUCUCCAACUCUGUCUGGGGGCUCAAGUGGCAGAGUCAAGCCAGG